Molecule: ribosomal RNA, 460 nt
Filed under: uncultured bacterium
Lineage: Bacteria
Description: partial 16S ribosomal RNA
Rfam family: Bacterial small subunit ribosomal RNA
Source: RNAcentral
CCUACGGGAGGCAGCAGUGAGGAAUAUUGGUCAAUGGACGAGAGUCUGAACCAGCCAAGUAGCGUGAAGGAUGACUGCCCUAUGGGUUGUAAACUUCUUUUAUAUGGGAAUAAAAUGUUCCACGUGUGGGAUUUUGUAUGUACCAUAUGAAUAAGGAUCGGCUAACUCCGUGCCAGCCGCCGCGGUAAUACGGAGGUUCCGAGCGUUAUCCGGAUUUAUUGGGUUUAAAGGGAGCGUAGGUGGAUUGUUAAGUCAGUUGUGAAAGUUUGCGGCUCAACCGUAAAAUUGCAGUUGAAACUGGCAGUCUUGAGUACAGUAGAGGUGGGCGGAAUUCGUGGUGUAGCGGUGAAAUGCUUAGAUAUCACGAAGAACUCCGAUUGCGAAGGCAGCUCACUGGACUGCAACUGACACUGAGGCUCGAAAGUGUGGGUAUCAAACAGGAUUAGAUACCCCAGUAGUC